Molecule: unclassified non-coding RNA, 337 nt
Filed under: soil metagenome
Description: partial contains 5.8S ribosomal RNA, internal transcribed spacer 2, and large subunit ribosomal RNA
Rfam family: 5.8S ribosomal RNA (bases 1-120)
Source: RNAcentral
GAUGAAGAACGCAGCGUAAUGCGAUAAGUAGUGUGAAUUGCAGAAUUCAGUGAAUCAUCGAAUCUUUGAACGCACAUUGCGCCCCAUGGUAUUCCGUGGGGCAUGCCUGUUCGAGCGUCAUUUACCCCCUCAAGCUCCGCUUGGUGUUGGGCGUCUGUCCCGCUUCGCGCGCGGACUCGCCCCAAAGGUAUUGGCAGCGGUCGUGCCAGCUUCUCGCGCAGCACAUUGCGCUUCUCGAGGCACCGGUGGGCCCGCGUCCAUCAAGCUCACCCCCCCAGUUUGACCUCGGAUCAGGUAGGGAUACCCGCUGAACUUAAGCAUAUCAAUAAGCGGAGGA